AACUUAUUCCAUUCAUGUGAUACAACAAUGUCGUGAAGAGCAAUCAUUCACUAAAUUGAUUAUCUCUUUUCUUUUUUGGCUGAAAUGUAACUUUUUUCAUAGCAUCUUGAAUUCUAUAAAAGCAAGCAGUAGAGUCCUCUUCCUAACAAACAACUGCAGCUCUUUGAUAACGAUCUUCAACCACAUAUUAACAUGUGUCUCUGCAUCAAAUGCAAAUGCUUUAGCUGCGAAGAUUCAAGCGGGCAAGAGAAGAAGGAACCAGACUGUCUUGAUUUGAUCCUGGCAAUCUUGGUGCCCCCAGUUGGGGUAUAUAAAAAGGAAGGGGGGUGCACGAUAAUUACAGGCCAAUUUCUGGGUAAAUGUAGCUCUGACGGCAUUAGGAUAUGCGCCAGGAAGCAUCCAUGCUGCCAUUUCCAUAUCAACAAACUGAACAGCAUAAUCGUACUUGUAAUUUAUCACUAGUCAUUUCAAUUGUCAACAAAAUAUGUAUAAUUACUUUAAGAAUUGUCAUAUCAAAGUCCUUCAUUCGUAUCUGUUAAUGGCAUCUCGUUCGUGCUUCUUGAUACAAUGAAGUGAAAGCAAGUGAAGAAAUUUUAUUUUACUUUUGCAUGUUAUCCGUAGUGUGUUUUAGCCCCCUCAA
Non-coding RNA from Durio zibethinus, 640 nucleotides. The record is from RefSeq and is a predicted model, not a curated record. Lineage: Eukaryota; Viridiplantae; Streptophyta; Magnoliopsida; Malvales; Malvaceae.